GUGGGAUGGACUUUGUUCCAUCAGAGAAGAGAACGGAAAGCUACAGGUAGUACAGAAUCAUUGUUAAAGUUUAUGGGUGAAGGAGAAGCUGAUUCUAGGAAUAUUAUAAUGGAUGGAAAGGCUUCUCUGAUGAAUAGGAUCAAACUUCCAACUGUUCAAAGUUACAUGUCAAACUUUUACAGGCAAUAUGGUACAAAGGUUGCUCGAAACCCC
RNAcentral lists this unclassified non-coding RNA (213 nucleotides) under Hevea brasiliensis (rubber tree). Lineage: Eukaryota; Viridiplantae; Streptophyta; Magnoliopsida; Malpighiales; Euphorbiaceae. The record is from RNAcentral.